RNAcentral lists this ribosomal RNA (2104 nucleotides) under Triticum aestivum (bread wheat). RNAcentral describes it as "partial small subunit ribosomal RNA". The record is from RNAcentral. Lineage: Eukaryota; Viridiplantae; Streptophyta; Magnoliopsida; Poales; Poaceae.
CAGUCUAUUCUCCCAGGUUUCCUUUUAGGGAGGCGCCUUGGUAUGGUUUGGUUGUUAAGGAUACCGCCGCGACGGAGAAGAGGCCACCCCGCGGAGGAGGGAGGUGCGGGUGAAGAGGGGAUGGGGCGGCGCUGCGGAGAAGAGGCGAGAGGCUGUCGGGGGACGGCGGCCGGCGAUGCUCGGUCCGAGGUCCCAGUACGAAUUCCCCUACCUGAUGGGUCUCGAGCUCUUUACCCACGUCAGCGUUCCUAAGGCUGGCCCUGUCCGGUACUACGACACCUUUACGGAGAUGCCCUUGUUGCAGACCCGCGUAACGGUGCUGCUCGACCGACCGAACUUGUUCCUGAACUCCUUUUACUAUUCACUAGUACGACUAGAGUUCCGUAAUUGACAAUUUCUGUAAUAAUGACGUAGCCUACCUUGGGCUUUCUAUGACAAGAGAGAACUUCUACGGAGACACUAACUUUGUCAACAGUAAGGAUCGCGGUCCCCGGCCUGUUGCCAGACACAAAGUUCAGUUCACCCGACACGGUACUUAACAGUCAAAACGAAGUGACCCUCCUACCCAAACUCUUUCGUAAACAGAUGUCGACUCUAUCAACUCGUCCGACACAAACGAGCAUUCGAUAAAAGUCUACUUAAACCAAGAUAAUGUUUACAACAUAAAUACCCGUACCCGCUCGGCAACGUGUUGCAUCUAUUGCAUUAUUUUCGUAGUAGAUAUUACCAACUACUCGUCCCGGAAGUCAAAUCAGGAGCGUUCCAAUGACAUAGGUGUUCACCAGAGCAAGGUCUCUAUUUUGCGAAAGAGUUACUUAGGUUAACACUAGACCGGCACUCAGAAUUACGUUGUUGACUACUCCAAUCCUUAACCUAUUACGGGUAAUUGUCUUCCAUGUUAGAAUCGUGCGAAGAACCGUGAAAUUCCCUCCUUGAAGCAAACUCUGGAUUCAGGUAUCACGAUAAACUUAUGCAGUACGAACGACCUCACUUACUGUCGUGCCUACUACGCUUCUCCGAAUACCUCGACCAAGUGCCAUAAGGGACGUUCUAGUUGGAUUAGAGAAAGUUAGGGGUAUCACCCAGUGUUAAGUUCGGCUGCGGGCUACUCUCGUAAUAGCUCAAGGCGUUGUACAAUUAGGUUAGGCCGGAAUGGCAAUACCAAGCCGAUUCGUCUCCGCUACUGGUCUACCGACGGACGCCCGUCGAUCCUCGCGGACCACUGAUAGUCGAUGGCGACGAGGCACAAGGACUCUUUAAAGUCCAGCGGAAUACUUCGAUUUAUGCAUCACGAGCAUGCCAUCAUUUUGUCUACGGACCCUUGUUGAAGUCCUUCUGUUCCGUCAUUAUACGCACAUUACUCCUAUUUUGGUGCGACUAAGAAAGUCCAGUUCGUAGAAAGACUCGGUCGGAAUGCUGGCAGCUCGUAAAAGACUUAAAACUACCGUUCACGACUUGUCAACUAGACACGACUAACAUUGGGUACAAGACUAAUUAUAUGUAGAGAGCAAAAGAACGUCUUUAUUCUUGUAAACCAGUCGUUUCUUGGACGUAGAAAAAGACAAACUACGUCCCUGCCGAUCCAUAGUUUAUUUCUGCUCUGCGUGGAGACCUAGCCGUACGAGGUUCGUUGAAACUCAUCUGCGUACUGUAGGCCCGUAGAGUGUAUCGAAGACUGCGCCAGACUCAGCGGUUUCAGCUAACACAACGUCCAUCAUCAAGGUUUUCUGAGCUUAGAUGAGUCGAUAACGACCAGUACAACCUAAUCUACUACGUCCUUGCUGUCUUUCUGUUCUUUUCCCGGAUGCACGUACGAAACGGAACGAACUCUAUGGAAUUGGCAAUUCCACACGGUGGUGGACUGGACUGGUGGGAUGAAUCUUUUCUUUUCUUUUCCCGUUUCACUAGAUUGUGUUCUGGGUGGUUGGUUACGCGGAAGAAAGGUUUUCGUUAACGUAAUGUUCUGGCGUGGUUACCCCUAAACCCGCGGAAAUCGUGAUAUUAGACGACGGUUUUACCUCAUCGCCGGAUGUGGACGAAGGAACGAAAUCACAUCUAUCUUCUAACGAACGAACCUAAAACUGUAGGGUCUGUUUCCUUAAGA